UGCCCUCAGGUGUAGCCUGGCUACUUGGUGCUGCUUUGAGCGUAUCUGUGAUUCUUAGUGCCUGAGCCCGGCAAAAUGAGAUCACUCCUCCUCUUUCUCAACUCUGCCUCCUGCCUAAGGAUCCUGCUGCUCUUUCUUGUGUAUUAUGCUGUGAUCAGGCUUGCCAGAUCUGAGGCUUCUCCGAGGAAGAGGAGGCUCAGAAAGACAAAAAAGAAAGCGAAAGCUUUUGGACGCUGUGCGGAAGAGUUGGAGGAGGCUGGUGCAUCCCCAGAGACGUGGUAAGCAAUGCCCCCCUCCAUAAAUUUGCAGUGGGUCAGUCCCCUCCUUUAGCGUCAUGCAAUUCAUCCCCACCCAGGGGCAGUAGCCCAAGUAAUCCCUCCCCUGCCCCGACCUAUGUACCACACAGGCAACUCUUCUCCUUUAGACUCCUGCAAUUCAUUCCCACCUUGCAGAAGUUGCCAUCUCUAAUCCACCCCCACGCCUUGUACAAUAGGUCAUUCCCUUCUUCCAGCAUCAUACGGCUCCUUUAACCUGGGGCAGUGAGGGGGAGGGGUAGAUUGUGUCAACUGGACUGGACCAUCCUCUCCUGCCAAGAGCGGGAGAAAAUGUUUUCUGGGAGCAGCCACGUGCACCCCAGGGAGGUGAGGUGCAGAGGUCAGGAGGAAGGCUGGCCUUUCUGGUACGGUGAGUAGGGGACCCAGGAGCACUUGGGUAAUGGCCCCUCCUCCAGUCCCCCAGCAUAGGUUCCACGUAGGAUUUGAAUCCUGGAGCUAAAGAAGUAGCUGCAUAGUUGGGUAGCUAGAGUAGGCUGUUAUCCUACAUGUUGAUUAGCUUCUGUGGGAGGGACAUGACACACAUGCAGCCAGCAGGAUAGACACUCACCUCCUCAGCACUAGACAGGGAUCACCUAACAAUCCAGCUAACCCCAACCCAGAACAUCCAAGGCCCGGGUAUUGCAGGGGAGGAGGCUGCCUCAGUGGAGAAGGGGACAGGGAGCCUUUCGGUGCCGCACCUCUGGGUAAAAGAGGGCCUGAGGGCAGGGCCUGCACUCAGCUAUCUGCUCUCUCUGUUCCACAGCUGCCCUCUGCCCCUGGAGAAGCUCCCCUUGGCUCAGAGCCUCAGGCUGGUUGAGAGGAGGCUACAGUACGUGGGCAGACACCUGGAUGCAGUUCUGAUACCGCCGAGUGUGGCGACAGCCGCGAUGAGCCAGUUCUCCUAUUCCGCUAUGGAAUCCACCACCUCUGCCCUCUGGAGUCCCAGCUCCUUUUCUCUGAGAGAAGACGCCAUCAUUCAGUCGGAGCCCCUCUGCCACACAGGGGAGAUCAUGCCCUUCGCGAGCUGGGAAGGAUCCACUCAUCCCAUCCAAGCCCAGCCUCUCUCCAGGCCUCCUGCCCACAGCAGAAAAGACCGGGGAGAGCAGACCACGGGUCUGGACCAGACUUCAGUCCAUAGCUCAGACUUCAACAUCCGGCAGAAGCAUCUGCAGAGGCGACUGGGGGCUCCACAAACCCCCAUCCCGGGGGAGCAAUUGCUGGGUGAGGGGGACACCAAGCAGCAAUUGGAAGUAAACCCAGAUCCGUCCAAAUGUGGAUUUCCAGCAAAGGUCCCGGAGCCCUUCAGAUCCAACACCAGCCCUCAGCGUGCACAGGAGAUCCAGGAGCCAUGUGUCUGCCCCCGGGGACCCCUGCCCCAAAAGGCCCACAGGAUCAUGGCAUCUUCUGAUGCCAUCCUGGCCACGCUUGUGCCCACAGUGGUGGUCAAGCUGCAGGAUCACAUGGCUCAGAAAUGCUGGCAGAUCCAAACCAAGGCCUUUCCUAAGAUGGUGCGAGAGUCACACAGAGAUGCUCCCCUCCGGAGAGAGACUGCCCUGCCUGGGCCACUCCACCCCCCUAGGGAGCCAGGCAGGCACAGGACAGCGGCAUUCCCAACGAUGGGACAACAGCCUGCCCACCCCAUCGAACUCCUCAUAAGGCAUCAGCAUCCAGUCAUGCAGAGGGGGCUGCUCACCCUGGACCCAGAGCCCCUGGCAAAGCUGCCUCACGCCGUCCCAGCCAGGGGAGCCCGUGUGGAGUUCAGUGAGAUGGAGACUGAUUUCCUGCAGACGGGGAGGCGAAGCACAAGCUCCUCUUCUUCCACACGUCCUCCAACGCCAGUGGAAGAUAUCACCAUGGAGACGGGCAGGAAUGAUGGCGCGGCAGGAAAGCAGACUAACCCACAGCGCUGCACUCUGCCAGCAGGGGUGGGUCUGACAUCGCCACCUCCAGGAACCACAGUAGCAGAGAAGACACUCGCAGCGACACUCCAAAUGUAUAGGAGCGAGUUGAGAAAGCCCCUUACCAGUGUGAGCGGCAGCAAAGGGGCUGAAGAGAAGCUGGAGCUGCACAUGGAGAGGAAGGUUCUCUUGGGAGAAGGCUCCUGCCUGCAGCCAGGGGCACAAGCAGGUGAGAGCAGGGCAGAUCCUCCCAGGACCCAAUGGCACCAGGUUGCCCCAGAGGCACCAGGCUCUGAGCAGCUAACAAGAUCCACCCUUGACUCUCUCCUUGCUGGGCAGGCUGCACACGACCUGCAGAUCAAGCAGCUGACGGAAAUGUUGAGCAGCUCCCGCCCCUUGGCGGGCCAGGUCUCAGUUUGCCAGCAGUGCCGCAAGGCAUAUCCAGGAAAGAGGAAGGGUGAGAAAACUCCAAAGGAGACAUCUGCUGAGCUGCAUAGUGUUCGAGACAUCGUGCAUUCACAUGGGUUCAAUGGAACUGUGAAUUCAAAGCUCUCCAGGGACCAGCCACCAAUCAGAGUCUGCGAGAAGGGUGGUAAGCAUCGACAAAAGAGACCAGCUGGCUCUGCAGGUGCUGACGUGCCGGGAAGAUCCCAUGGAAUUCCACAGCGAUGGACUCCAGGAGACUCCUCAGCAUCAUCCAACCACAAUAAGAUGCCAGUGCUGUGGCUCCUUCCAGCAGACAAGAGCAAGACGCAGGAUGGAAUGGGGAAAAGGGCUCCCCGCAAGCAACCAAAGAUGGUGUCCGUUGCAACGAGUACAACAGGGCUUUCGCAAGCUGGGGAGAAAGCAAGUUGGAGUCCUGACGGUUCUCCCUCAAAGUCACCAAAGGCCUCCAGAGCUAGGACACCAUCCCCUUCAAGGAGCAAAGUUCUCCAAAAGAUGUUCAUGUGCCUGAAGCAAACCUUCAGCAAGCUGCAACACAAAGUGAAGUCCCGAAUGUCCAAGGACCCUCGAUCCAGAACACCUGACACUAAAUUUACAAAGCCACCCUUUUGGAAGGCAAGGGCCUCCAAGGGUGUACGGUUUCCAUACUACUGAAUCUCACACUGCCAGCAUGCCCAAUACCAGAAAAGGCCCACAAAUUCCCACCUCUCCCUAUCAUCCAGUGGGCCCGGUAAGCAUGGGCUAAAGUGGCUGAGAAGAAUGGCUUGUUGUCCUGGGACACAGAGACUGAUAUAUAAGUGUCUCUCCUUGGGGUAUGACAUUUAACCCAAGAUUCCAAGAUGAAGGGGGGCCUGGGAGCUUGGAUGAGAUUGAGCAUUCAAGAAUCAAUCCUUCCUUCAAGAAGAGCUGACACUAAAUUUACAAAGCCACCCUUUUGGAAGGCAAGGGCCUCAAAGUCUGUCCAGUAGUACUAUUAGGGCCCUAUCAUCAAUCAAACACAAACCGGCCCUUUGACUCCUAAAACCCCGCUCCUUGACCCCUUAAACCCCGCCCACCUAUCACCAGAAGUCCCACCCACAGGGUAUUACUUCCAGGGUCAAGGAGGACACAUGACCGGAAGCCAAGGGUGUCAUGUGACCCCUCUAAGAACUCCUCCCACUGCCCUCUACCAAUCAGGAGAGGUUUCGCCCUCAUAGGCCUACCUGGAGAGGGGAUUUGACCAAUCAGGGGUGUUCCAGGGUGGGGUAACCCAUCCGGAUGUGGCUCGUGUGACCCCUCUAAGAACUCCUCCCACUGCACUCUACCAAUCGCGAUGGGUUUCGGCCGCAUAGGACCAACCUGAGAGCAGAUUUGACCAAUCGGUGGUGUUCCGGGACGGGGUGACCUGUCCAGAUGAGGGUCGUGUGACCCUUCUAAGAACUCCUCCCAGCGCCCUCUGCCAGUCAAAGCGCAACACUAUCACCCCAUAAGUCCCAGCACCAGGGCAGAAGAGGCCAUUUUUUACCAAGGACGCGUGCUUUAGAAAUCGUAGAAGCAUGGACUCCUUCACCACCCUGUGAGUACUUUGGACUUUGUGUUAGCCCCGAGGGCCUUUGGACUUGUGUGGAGAAAGCGCUACAUGAGCGACAGUUCCCACAAGGGACCUUUGACUCAGCCAUUGAUGGAUACGCUGGAACCCGAAACCCAAACUCUCGUGAGGCACACCGAUGAGUGUGAUGGCCUCUCAUUUUCCACCCCCCUAGAGGUGGAAGGUGAACGCAGCUCAGGGGAGUCAUCGGAGGACAAGGUGAAUGGAAAAGACAUUGCUCAGAUUGACGAUGCCUUUCUAGAGGACCCAGAGGCCUUGGACAGCAUUGCAUCAAGCAGCGAAGAUGAACCGGGCUCUCCUUGUUUUUGCUCAAUGCCAGUACAAAUUGUUGAAGAGGACUCCAAGGAUGACGGCUAUGAGGAGUUUAGGAGGCUUGGCAUGGAAAUAACUGAGCCAAGGCCACGUCGUGAGCGUAAAAAAGUCAUGCGGACUAUUGUACGUGUUGCUGUUUAUGCUGUCCUUAAUCAGUGCCUUAGGGAAAAGCUUUUUGAAGAUUGUGAGGGCUGUGUCAUAGAUGCGCCAGCCCAACGGCACCAUGACUGUGUGACUUGGACUUCAGUAGAUCUAAACUUCAAGCUCCGGCGCCUGUGUGCUGAGUUGUGUUUGGAAAGGUUAUUAAACGUUGUUCUUGCCAUAGGUUAUGCUGCGCAAUGUCUGUGCCUAACCCAAGAACAUUUAGCGUAAGGGGUGACCUUGAUAAAUGCUGUGCAAUUUAGUGCAGACCCCGGCCGUGUUUUAAAGAAAAUGACCAAACCGGAAGAUGCCUGUGUCCCAUUCUUAACUUGAACUGGGACCGUAUAGAAUAUGAUUGCAACCAAGGUCCUGUAGUAGCACUAAAUCUUUUGUAAAGGGGAUCAUAUAAGGGGUCUAAGACCAGGUUAUGGGUUGCUGGUUAUGAUUAUGCUGUCUGUAUCAAUGUGUCAUUUUGUAGUUGAAGUUAUGAAUAUUGGCUCUAUCCUGUCUGUAUCUCAAACUUAU
This is an RNA transcript of Mauremys reevesii (Reeves's turtle), 5222 nucleotides long. RefSeq lists it as uncharacterized. The record is from RefSeq and is a predicted model, not a curated record. The transcript is spliced from 5 exons. NCBI's taxonomy places the organism in Eukaryota, Metazoa, Chordata, Testudines, Geoemydidae.